RNAcentral lists this ribosomal RNA (465 nucleotides) under uncultured Klebsiella sp. RNAcentral's name for it is "bacterial SSU rRNA". It matches the Rfam family "Bacterial small subunit ribosomal RNA", at positions 338 to 795 of the family's 1533-position model. Lineage: Bacteria; Pseudomonadati; Pseudomonadota; Gammaproteobacteria; Enterobacterales; Enterobacteriaceae. The record is from RNAcentral.
CCUACGGGGGGCUGCAGUGGGGAAUAUUGCACAAUGGGCGCAAGCCUGAUGCAGCCAUGCCGCGUGUGUGAAGAAGGCCUUCGGGUUGUAAAGCACUUUCAGCGGGGAGGAAGGCGGUGAGGUUAAUAACCUCAUCGAUUGACGUUACCCGCAGAAGAAGCACCGGCUAACUCCGUGCCAGCAGCCGCGGUAAUACGGAGGGUGCAAGCGUUAAUCGGAAUUACUGGGCGUAAAGCGCACGCAGGCGGUCUGUCAAGUCGGAUGUGAAAUCCCCGGGCUCAACCUGGGAACCGCAUUCGAAACUGGCAGGCUAGAGUCUUGUAGAGGGGGGUAGAAUUCCAGGUGUAGCGGUGAAAUGCGUAGAGAUCUGGAGGAAUACCGGUGGCGAAGGCGGCCCCCUGGACAAAGACUGACGCUCAGGUGCGAAAGCGUGGGGAGCAAACAGGAUUAGAUACCCCGGUAGUC